UGAGGAAUAUUGGUCAAUGGGCGGGAGCCUGAACCAGCCAAGCCGCGUGAGGGAAGAAGGCCCUAUGGGUCGUAAACCUCUUUUGUCAGGGAACAAAAGCGAGUAUGUAUACUAGUCUGAGUGUACCUGAAGAAAAAGCAUCGGCUAACUCCGUGCCAGCAGCCGCGGUAAUACGGAGGAUGCGAGCGUUAUCCGGAUUUAUUGGGUUUAAAGGGUGCGUAGGCGGUCUGUUAAGUCAGCGGUAAAAGCCCGGGGCUCAACCCGCGAGCGUGAAACUGGCGGACUAGAGACGGUGAGAGGUAUGCGGAAUGCGCAGUGUAGCGGUGAAAUGCUUAGAUAUUGCGCAGAACUCCGAUUGCGAAGGCAGCGUACUGGCGCCUGACUGACGCUGAGGCACGAAAGCGUGGGGAUCGAACAGGAUUAGAUACC
This 429-nucleotide ribosomal RNA is filed under the name uncultured bacterium. Its description in RNAcentral is "bacterial SSU rRNA". It matches the Rfam family "Bacterial small subunit ribosomal RNA", at positions 355 to 786 of the family's 1533-position model. The record is from RNAcentral.